GUGCUUCAGGGAUGAACAGGUCCCUCAUAUUAACGAUAUCCAUCCAAUUCACUUUAUCAGCUGUCUUUUUGGUUUCUUGCUGAUCAUUACCGGAUGGAAUAUCC
This is a small nucleolar RNA of Ziziphus jujuba (common jujube), 104 nucleotides long. RefSeq annotates it as small nucleolar RNA snoR99. Lineage: Eukaryota; Viridiplantae; Streptophyta; Magnoliopsida; Rosales; Rhamnaceae. The record is from RefSeq and is a predicted model, not a curated record. The transcript has a single exon.